This 269-nucleotide ribosomal RNA is filed under the name uncultured prokaryote. Its description in RNAcentral is "partial 16S ribosomal RNA". It matches the Rfam family "Bacterial small subunit ribosomal RNA", at positions 524 to 792 of the family's 1533-position model. The record is from RNAcentral.
UACGGAGGAUCCGAGCGUUAUCCGGAUUUAUUGGGUUUAAAGGGUGCGCAGGCGGGAGAUUAAGUCGGCGGUGAAAUUUUGCAGCUCAACUGUAAAAGUGCCUUCGAAACUGGUUUCCUUGAGUGUGGAUGAAGUAGGCGGAAUUUGUGGUGUAGCGGUGAAAUGCAUAGAUAUCACGAGGAACUCCGAUUGCGCAGGCAGCUUACUAAACCAUAACUGACGCUCAGGCACGAAGGCGUGGGGAUCAAACAGGAUUAGAUACCCCUGUA